RNAcentral lists this non-coding RNA (24 nucleotides) under Arabidopsis thaliana (thale cress). The record is from RNAcentral. Lineage: Eukaryota; Viridiplantae; Streptophyta; Magnoliopsida; Brassicales; Brassicaceae.
AUACAUAGGUUACACAUAUAAAAC